UAGGGAAUCUUCGGCAAUGGACGGAAGUCUGACCGAGCAACGCCGCGUGAGUGAAGAAGGUUUUCGGAUCGUAAAGCUCUGUUGUUAGAGAAGAACGUUGGUAGGAGUGGAAAAUCUACCAAGUGACGGUAACUAACCAGAAAGGGACGGCUAACUACGUGCCAGCAGCCGCGGUAAUACGUAGGUCCCGAGCGUUGUCCGGAUUUAUUGGGCGUAAAGCGAGCGCAGGCGGUUCUUUAAGUCUGAAGUUAAAGGCAGUGGCUUAACCAGUGUACGCUUUGGAAACUGGAGGACUUGAGUGCAGAAGGUGAGAGUGGGAAUCCAUGUGUAGCGGUCGAAUGCGUAGAUAUAUGGAGGAACACCGGUGGCGAAAGCGGCUCUCUGGUCUGUAACUGACGCCGAGGCUCGAAAGCGUGGGGAGCAAACAGG
RNAcentral lists this ribosomal RNA (429 nucleotides) under Bacillota bacterium. RNAcentral describes it as "Firmicutes bacterium partial 16S ribosomal RNA". It matches the Rfam family "Bacterial small subunit ribosomal RNA", at positions 355 to 776 of the family's 1533-position model. Lineage: Bacteria; Bacillati; Bacillota. The record is from RNAcentral.